GCAAUAAGAGAAGAAACAUACUGUUUUAUGCCAGAACAAACUGUGUCCUGAGACCAUUGCCUGCCCUCUUUAUCUAGAGACUUCUGGCACUGAUGUGGGAUGGAUAUUC
Molecule: small nucleolar RNA, 109 nt
Organism: Cricetulus griseus (Chinese hamster)
Lineage: Eukaryota; Metazoa; Chordata; Mammalia; Rodentia; Cricetidae
Source: Ensembl